RNAcentral lists this ribosomal RNA (513 nucleotides) under uncultured bacterium. RNAcentral's name for it is "bacterial SSU rRNA". It matches the Rfam family "Bacterial small subunit ribosomal RNA", at positions 791 to 1304 of the family's 1533-position model. The record is from RNAcentral.
UAGUCCACGCCGUAAACGAUGUCUACUAGCCGUUGGGGAACUUGAUUCCUUAGUGGCGCAGCUAACGUGAUAAGUAGACCGCCUGGGGAGUACGGUCGCAAGAUUAAAACUCAAAUGAAUUGACGGGGGCCCGCACAAGCGGUGGAGCAUGUGGUUUAAUUCGAUGCAACGCGAAGAACCUUACCUGGCCUUGACAUCCUGCGAACUUUCUAGAGAUAGAUUGGUGCCUUCGGGAACGCAGAGACAGGUGCUGCAUGGCUGUCGUCAGCUCGUGUUGUGAAAUGUUGGGUUAAGUCCCGUAACGAGCGCAACCCUUGUCCCUAUUUGCCAGCACUUCGGGUGGGAACUCUAGGGAGACUGCCGGUGACAAACCGGAGGAAGGUGGGGACGACGUCAAGUCAUCAUGGCCCUUACGGCCAGGGCUACACACGUGCUACAAUGGUGAGAACAGAGGGUUGCGAAGCCGCGAGGUGGAGCUAAUCCCAGAAAACUCAUCGUAGUCCGGAUUGGAGU